Long non-coding RNA from Centropristis striata (black sea bass), 781 nucleotides. RefSeq lists it as uncharacterized. The record is from RefSeq and is a predicted model, not a curated record. The transcript has 5 exons. NCBI's taxonomy places the organism in Eukaryota, Metazoa, Chordata, Actinopteri, Perciformes, Serranidae.
UUCAUACGCCUCUGACUCCUACCUGUGAUAUCGGACCUGCUCAACUACGUUUUUCAUCUUCUGCCCCGUGACUCCGGACAAUCAGCGAGUGUGCUCUGGAACCCACCCUGCCAUCUCAAUGCCACGGGGCAAGUCUUUUAUCGUUCUGAGGCAGCCAAGCGGCGUCUGGCAGAUCGGCGACAGGUUGACGUGGAACCACAGUAGCCUGCCAAUACCAGUUACACAGCACGGCACCGGGCAGCGCCAUGCUGUGUGACGUUGGACGCUUGUGCUGCCGUGCGAAUCCUCUGACAAGAAGGCAAAAAGUCGCCGUAUGCAUUACAUACAGAAGCUGAAAGCACACCAUGAUAUUUGUGAGAAGCGCUAUGAGGCAGCGCAGGCAGGAGAGGAAGAGGAGAGGAAGAGGAGCGUGGUUCUCCAUCAUCAGAAGGAUACAGCAGUGAGUCAUGCUACACACUUGAGACAGAGGAUGUUGGUAUGAUGCCAUGUGAAGCCCUUUGAGACCAACUGUUUGAUGCUUGGCUCAGACAGGAGAAGAUUGGAGUUGUUUGGCCACAAAUGGGACAAACGCCUUCAUUUUUCGUCUUUACCUUCACAAAGUUGAGAGUAAACCUGGGCUCAGGACCCUGCCCUGUGCCAGGCUGCCAGACGACGUUUUGUCCCCGGCUGGAGAGACACAUAAAGAGCCACCGUCAUGAGAUGAGAGCUGCAGGCCUCCAGAGGAUUCUGGAGGCUGCGAAGAGAACUGCAGCUCUCAAGCGUUUGAGGGACCUCAGGGCCA